This 300-nucleotide ribosomal RNA is filed under the name Prevotella melaninogenica. RNAcentral's name for it is "partial 16S ribosomal RNA". It matches the Rfam family "Bacterial small subunit ribosomal RNA", at positions 1225 to 1533 of the family's 1533-position model. The record is from RNAcentral. Lineage: Bacteria; Pseudomonadati; Bacteroidota; Bacteroidia; Bacteroidales; Prevotellaceae.
UUACAAUGGCCGGUACAGAGGGAUGGUGUAAUGCAAAUUGCAUCAAAUCUUGAAAGCCGGUCCCAGUUCGGACUGGGGUCUGCAACCCGACCCCACGAAGCUGGAUUCGCUAGUAAUCGCGCAUCAGCCAUGGCGCGGUGAAUACGUUCCCGGGCCUUGUACACACCGCCCGUCAAGCCAUGAAAGCCGGGGGUGCCUGAAGUCCGUGACCGCAAGGAUCGGCCUAGGGCAAAACUGGUGAUUGGGGCUAAGUCGUAACAAGGUAGCCGUACCGGAAGGUGCGGCUGGAACACCUCCUUU